UACGUAGGUGGCAAGCGUUGUCCGGAAUUACUGGGUGUAAAGGGAGCGUAGGCGGGAGUGCAAGUUGAAUGUAUAAACUAUCGGCUCAACUGAUAGAAGCGUUCAAAACUGCACUUCUUGAGUGAAGUAGAGGCAGGCGGAAUUCCUAGUGUAGCGGUGAAAUGCGUAGAUAUUAGGAGGAACGCCAGUGGCGAAGGCGGCCUGCUGGGCUUUAACUGACGCUGAGGCUCGAAAGCGUGGGUAGCAAACAGG
RNAcentral lists this ribosomal RNA (252 nucleotides) under uncultured bacterium. RNAcentral describes it as "partial 16S ribosomal RNA". It matches the Rfam family "Bacterial small subunit ribosomal RNA", at positions 524 to 776 of the family's 1533-position model. The record is from RNAcentral.